UGUGCCUACGGGGCGCAGCAGUGGGGAAUAUUGGGCAAUGGGCGCAAGCCUGACCCAGCAACGCCGCGUGAAGGAAGAAGGCCCUCGGGUUGUAAACUUCUUUUGUCAGGGACGAAGCAAGUGACGGUACCUGACGAAUAAGCCACGGCUAACUACGUGCCAGCAGCCGCGGUAAUACGUAGGUGGAAAGCGUUAUCCGGAUUUACUGGGUGUAAAGGGCGUGUAGGCGGGGAAGCAAGUCAGAUGUGAAAGUCCAGGGCUCAACCCUGGAACUGCAUUUGAAACUGGUUUUCUUGAGUGAUGGG
RNAcentral lists this ribosomal RNA (305 nucleotides) under uncultured bacterium. RNAcentral's name for it is "bacterial SSU rRNA". It matches the Rfam family "Bacterial small subunit ribosomal RNA", at positions 333 to 653 of the family's 1533-position model. The record is from RNAcentral.